RNAcentral lists this ribosomal RNA (433 nucleotides) under uncultured bacterium. RNAcentral's name for it is "partial 16S ribosomal RNA". It matches the Rfam family "Bacterial small subunit ribosomal RNA", at positions 29 to 507 of the family's 1533-position model. The record is from RNAcentral.
AACGAACGCUGGCGGCAUGCCUAACACAUGCAAGUCGAACGAGACCUUCGGGUCUAGUGGCGCACGGGUGCGUAACACGUGGGAACCUGCCCUUAGGUUCGGAAUAACUCCCCGAAAGGGGUGCUAAUACCGGAUAAUGUCUUCGGACCAAAGAUUUAUCGCCUUUGGAUGGGCCCGCGUUGGAUUAGCUAGUUGGUAGGGUAAAAGCCUACCAAGGCGACGAUCCAUAGCUGGUCUGAGAGGAUGAUCAGCCACACUGGGACUGAGACACGGCCCAGACUCCUACGGGAGGCAGCAGUGGGGAAUAUUGGACAAUGGGCGAAAGCCUGAUCCAGCAAUGCCGCGUGAGUGAUGAAGGCCUUAGGGUUGUAAAGCUCCUUUACCCGGGAUGAUAAUGACAGUACCGGGAGAAUAAGCUCCGGCUAACUCCGUG